RNAcentral lists this ribosomal RNA (240 nucleotides) under Francisella tularensis subsp. holarctica. Its description in RNAcentral is "partial 23S ribosomal RNA". It matches the Rfam family "Bacterial large subunit ribosomal RNA", at positions 249 to 523 of the family's 2925-position model. The record is from RNAcentral. Lineage: Bacteria; Pseudomonadati; Pseudomonadota; Gammaproteobacteria; Thiotrichales; Francisellaceae.
GCGAGCGAAGUGGGAAGAGCCUGGUAUGAUUUAGCUGUAAUUAUAGUAGAACAAGUUGGGAAGCUUGACUAUAGAGGGUGAUAGUCCCGUAUACGAAAUAAUCACAGUGGAACUAAGCAUACGAACAAGUAGGACGGGGCACGUGUAACCUUGUCUGAAUAUGGGGGGACCAUCCUCCAAGGCUAACUACUCCUGAAUGACCGAUAGUGAACUAGUACCGUGAGGGAAAGGUGAAAAGAA